RNAcentral lists this ribosomal RNA (251 nucleotides) under uncultured prokaryote. Its description in RNAcentral is "partial 16S rRNA". It matches the Rfam family "Bacterial small subunit ribosomal RNA", at positions 525 to 775 of the family's 1533-position model. The record is from RNAcentral.
ACGGAGGGUGCGAGCGUUAAUCGGAAUCACUGGGCGUAAAGCGCACGUAGGCGGUGUCGUAAGUCGGAUGUGAAAGCCCUCGGCUCAACCGGGGAACUGCAUUCGAUACUGCGACGCUUGAGUGCCGGAGAGGGUGGCGGAAUUCCAGGUGUAGGCCGGCAGGCCGUAGAUGUCUGGAGGAGGAGCGGUGGCGAAGGCGGCAACCUGGCUAGAAUCUGACGUUGAGCUGCGAGAGCGAGUGGAUGGAAGAG